UACGUAGGGUGCAAGCGUUGUCCGGAAUUAUUGGGCGUAAAGAGCUCGUAGGCGGUCUGUCGCGUCGGAUGUGAAAAUCCAGGGCUUAACCCUGGACCUGCAUUCGAUACGGGCAGACUAGAGUUCGGUAGGGGAGACUGGAAUUCCUGGUGUAGCGGUGAAAUGCGCAGAUAUCAGGAGGAACACCGGUGGCGAAGGCGGGUCUCUGGGCCGAUACUGACGCUGAGGAGCGAAAGCUAGGGGAGCAAACGGG
This 253-nucleotide ribosomal RNA is filed under the name uncultured bacterium. RNAcentral describes it as "partial 16S ribosomal RNA". It matches the Rfam family "Bacterial small subunit ribosomal RNA", at positions 524 to 776 of the family's 1533-position model. The record is from RNAcentral.